Molecule: small RNA, 535 nt
Filed under: Pan troglodytes (chimpanzee)
Lineage: Eukaryota; Metazoa; Chordata; Mammalia; Primates; Hominidae
Description: retained intron
Source: RNAcentral
GGGCCAUGGACGGAGCAGUGAUGGAAGGGCCGCUCUUUUUGCAGAGUCAGCGCUUUGGGACCAAGGUAGUCUGGCGCACGGAUGCCGAACCUUAUCCGGGCUAGUAAUGGGUGGAGGAAGACCUGGGCCGUGCUCUACCCGGCCAGUCCCCACGGCGUAGCGCGGCUCGAGUUCUUUGACCAUAAGGGGUCGAGCUCUGGGGGUGGCCGAGGGAGCUCGCGCCGCCUGGACUGCAAAGUGAUCCGUCUGGCUGAGUGUGUGAGUGUGGCCCCCGUCAUCGUGGAGACCCCCCCUGAGCCCGGCGCCACUGCCUUCCGCCUGGACACUGCUCAGCGCUCGCACCUGCUGGCGGCCGACGCGCCGUCCAGUGCAGCCUGGGUGCAGACCCUGUGCCGAAACGCCUUUCCGAAAGGCAGCUGGACUCUGGCGCCUACCGAUAACCCACCUAAGCUUUCUGCCCUGGAGAUGCUGGAGAACUCCUUGUACAGCCCUACCUGGGAAGGAUCCCAAUUCUGGGUAACGGUGCAGAGGACUG